RNAcentral lists this ribosomal RNA (790 nucleotides) under Ditylenchus oncogenus. RNAcentral describes it as "partial 28S ribosomal RNA". Lineage: Eukaryota; Metazoa; Nematoda; Chromadorea; Rhabditida; Anguinidae. The record is from RNAcentral.
UAGUGAUUUCGGAAGGAACCAGCUACUAGAUGGUUCGAUUAGUCUUUCGCCCCUAUACCCAAGUCAGAGAUCGAUUUGCACGUCAGAACCGCUUCGGACUUCCACCAGAGUUUCCUCUGGCUUCAUCCUGCUCAGGCAUAGUUCACCAUCUUUCGGGUCUCAGCGGAUACGCUCUACCUCCACCCCAUUGCAAGCAAUUAGGAUGGGGCUAUGCUGCGCCUAGGCACCGAGAUGCCCAGGAUCGCAUAUCAGCUCCAUAAGGAUACCUUUACUUUCAUUGCGCCUUUAGGUUUUAACACCCAAUGACUCGCGCAUCCGCUAAACUCCUUGGUCCGUGUUUCAAGACGGGUCGGAUAGAUGACCAACUUUUACACCGAGAACGAGUGUGAGAAUCCGCACCAACAACCUACCCCACAAGCAGUAAUAGUCGCAUGCGACCACUAUCCACCGCAGAGCAAGAAGCCAGCCGACUCGUAGGCCACACUCUUAGUUUCAAACACAACAAACAGUCUUCCACCAGUCUGGGUUUCUUUGCCCGAAGGUAAGGCCUCUUGACUGGGUUCCAACCGCUGAAGUGUAUCUCUCAGCGCACUCCACCUGUAAAUGCACUGCGAAACAAUGCCAGAAACGAACUAACUAGCCAGAAGCAGGACCAGUCAAUCCGCCCAGCACUGCCCAACAGCUGAAUACGGGUUAGAUACGUCGGCUCUAUCCGUUUCGAUCUUAUCGGUUUCACGUCCUCUUUAACUCUCUCUUCAAGUGCUUUGCAACUUUCCCUCACGGUACUUGU